UUGUCAUAUUAUGUAUCUGCAAUGCUGGU
Molecule: non-coding RNA, 29 nt
Filed under: Mus musculus (house mouse)
Lineage: Eukaryota; Metazoa; Chordata; Mammalia; Rodentia; Muridae
Source: RNAcentral